UCCCUGGUGGCUCAGAGGGUAAAGCAUCUGCCUGCAAUGUGGGAGACCUGGGUUCAAUCCCUGGGUGGGGAA
Molecule: transfer RNA, 72 nt
Filed under: Capra hircus (goat)
Lineage: Eukaryota; Metazoa; Chordata; Mammalia; Artiodactyla; Bovidae
Also listed under: 1 other name
Rfam family: tRNA
About the family: Transfer RNA (tRNA) molecules are approximately 80 nucleotides in length. Their secondary structure includes four short double-helical elements and three loops (D, anti-codon, and T loops). Further hydrogen bonds mediate the characteristic L-shaped molecular structure. tRNAs have two regions of fundamental functional importance: the anti-codon, which is responsible for specific mRNA codon recognition, and the 3' end, to which the tRNAs corresponding amino acid is attached (by aminoacyl-tRNA synthetases). tRNAs cope with the degeneracy of the genetic code in two manners: having more than one tRNA (with a specific anti-codon) for a particular amino acid; and 'wobble' base-pairing, i.e. permitting non-standard base-pairing at the 3rd anti-codon position.
Source: Rfam by way of RNAcentral